GAGUUUGAUCAUGGCUCAAGGACGAACGCUGGCGGCAUGCCUAACACAUGCAAGUCGAACGGAAGUAGCAAUACUUAGUGGCGAACGGUGAGUAACACGUGAGCAACCUGCCUUAUACUCAGGGAUAACAGUUGGAAACGACUGCUAAUACCGGAGUAAGACCUACACUAUGGCAUCAUAGAGGGGUCGAAAGUGAUUUAGCGGUAUGAGAUGGGCUCGCGUCCAAUUAGCUAGUUGGUGGGGUAACGGCCCACCAAGGCGACGAUUGGUAGCCGACUUGAGAGAGUGAUCGGCCACACUGGAACUGAGACACGGUCCAGACUCCUACGGGAGGCGAGCAGUGGGGAAGUAUUGGGCAAUGGAGGAAACUCUUACCCAGACCAAUGCCGCGUGAGUGAUGAAGGUCUUUGGUAGUUGUAAAAGCUCUUUGAUUGGGGAAGAAUAAAUGACGGUACCCAAAGAACAAGCCCCGGCUAACUAUGUGCCAGCCGCAGC
Molecule: ribosomal RNA, 495 nt
Filed under: uncultured bacterium
Lineage: Bacteria
Description: bacterial SSU rRNA
Rfam family: Bacterial small subunit ribosomal RNA
Source: RNAcentral